This 468-nucleotide long non-coding RNA is filed under the name Homo sapiens (human). RNAcentral's name for it is "non-protein coding lnc-TMEM155-3:1". Lineage: Eukaryota; Metazoa; Chordata; Mammalia; Primates; Hominidae. The record is from RNAcentral.
UGUCACGGGGAAGAGCUCCCUGCUGUGUGCCUGCACCACCCCACUGCCUUCCUUCAGCACCUUUAGCUGCAUUUGUAUGCCAGUGCUUAACACAUUGCCUUAUUCAUACUAGCAUGCUCAUGACCAACACAUACACGUCAUAGAAGAAAAUAGUGGUGCUUCUUUCUGAUCUCUAGUGGAGAUCUCUUUGACUGCUGUAGUACUAAAGUGUACUUAAUGUUACUAAGUUUAAUGCCUGGCCAUUUUCCAUUUAUAUAUAUUUUUUAAGAGGCUAGAGUGCUUUUAGCCUUUUUUAAAAACUCCAUUUAUAUUACAUUUGUAACCAUGAUACUUUAAUCAGAAGCUUAGCCUUGAAAUUGUGAACUCUUGGAAAUGUUAUUAGUGAAGUUCGCAACUAAACUAAACCUGUAAAAUUAUGAUGAUUGUAUUCAAAAGAUUAAUGAAAAAUAAACAUUUCUGUCCCCCUGA